Molecule: ribosomal RNA, 386 nt
Filed under: uncultured Bicosoecida
Lineage: Eukaryota; Bigyra; Bicosoecida
Description: partial small subunit ribosomal RNA
Rfam family: Eukaryotic small subunit ribosomal RNA
Source: RNAcentral
GCUUGUCUCAAAGAUUAAGCCAUGCAUGUCUUAGUGUAAAUAACUCUUAUGAAACUGCGAAUGGCUCAUUAAAUCAGUUAUCAAAUACGUGAUGGUCGCCUACUACAUGGAUAACCGUAGUAAUUCUAGAGCUAAUACAUGCACAAAGGCCCACUCACGUGGGUUGUGAUUAUUAGAUACAAUCAGCCCCCUUGGGGUCAUGAUGAAUCAUAAUAACUGAACUAAGCGCAUGCUUUGGCGGCGCUGUUUCAUUCAAGUUUCUGCCCUAUCAGCUUUCGAUGGUAGGGUAUUGGCCUACCAUGGCGUUAACGGGUAACGGAGAAUUAGGGUUCGAUUCCGGAGAGGGAGCCUGAGAGAUGGCUACCACAUCCAAGGAAGGCAGCAGG